GAACAUGAUGGCAAUCUAGCUGUGACAUUAAUCACCCUAUUGAUCACCAGGACUGAUUUAGUUGAUGUGGCUGGCUAGGCAGUUGUUCCCUUCCUCCCUCACCACUCCAUGUAUAUCCUUCCCAAAAGAAGCUAUGGGCUUGGUCAAAGAUGACCUUCCCUAAUAAAAUGAUCUGUCUUUGAUGGUCAAGGGCCUAGAGUAGCUGUGUUCCUUUACCAGAACCUCCAAACAGACUCUCAAGAAAUAGUUAUAUCUUGGAAUUUUAUGGAUUUUGUACAUAUUUUUAUUUUGAAUGUUAAAAAAAAUCUACCAACUUUUCUUU
RNAcentral lists this small nuclear RNA (322 nucleotides) under Nannospalax galili (Upper Galilee mountains blind mole rat). RNAcentral's name for it is "7SK RNA (ENSNGAG00000003099.1)". It matches the Rfam family "7SK RNA", at positions 1 to 288 of the family's 331-position model. Rfam says of the family: 7SK was discovered as an abundant small nuclear RNA in the mid-70s but a possible function has only recently been suggested. Two independent studies have found that 7SK RNA binds the CDK9/cyclin T complex (known as elongation factor P-TEFb). P-TEFb activates transcription by phosphorylating the C-terminal domain of RNA polymerase II. The record is from RNAcentral. Lineage: Eukaryota; Metazoa; Chordata; Mammalia; Rodentia; Spalacidae.